AACGAACGCUGGCGGCAGGCCUAACACAUGCAAGUCGAACGCCCUAGCAAUAGGGAGUGGCAGACGGGCGAGUAACGCGUGGGAACGUGCCUUUCGGUUCGGAAUCAACCAGGGAAACUUGUGCUAAUACCGGAUACGCCAUUCGGGGCAAAGAUUUAUUGCCGAAAGGUCGGCCCCCGUCCGAUUAGCUAGUUGGUGAGGUAAAGGCUCACCAAGGCGACGAUCGGUAGCUGGGCUGAGAGGAUGAUCAGCCACACUGGGACUGAGACACGGCCCAGACUCCUACGGGGGGCAGCAGUGGGGAAUAUUGGACAAUGGGCGAAAGCCUGAUCCAGCCAUGCCGCGUGAGUGAUGAAGGCCCUAGGGUUGUAAAGCUCUUUCGCCAGGGACGAUAAUGACGGUACCUGGAUAAGAAGCCCCGGCUAACUUCGUGCCAGCCGCCGCCGUAA
RNAcentral lists this ribosomal RNA (449 nucleotides) under uncultured bacterium. RNAcentral's name for it is "partial 16S ribosomal RNA". It matches the Rfam family "Bacterial small subunit ribosomal RNA", at positions 29 to 523 of the family's 1533-position model. The record is from RNAcentral.